CAGCCGCCGCGGUAAUACCGGCGGCCCGAGUGGCGGUCACUAUUAUUGGGCUUAAAGCGUCCGUAGCCGGGUUGGGAAGUCCUCCGGGAAAUCUGGCCGCUUAACGGUCAGAAUGCCGGAGGAUACUCCCAGCCUAGGGAGCGGGGGAGGCCGAGGGGAUUCCCGGGGUAGGGGGGGAAUCCUAUAAUCCCGGGAGGGCCACCUGUGGCGAAGGCGCUCGGCUGGAACGCGUCCGACGGUGAGGGACGAAGGCCAGGGGAGCAAACCGGAUUAGAUACCCGGGUAGUCCUGGCUGUAAACGAUGCGGACUUUGUGUCGGACAAGCUAUGAGCUUGUCCGGUGCCGGAGGGAAACCGUUAAGUCCGCCGCCUGGGGAGUACGGCCGCAAGGCUGAAACUUAAAGGAAUUGGCGGG
Molecule: ribosomal RNA, 414 nt
Filed under: uncultured microorganism
Description: bacterial SSU rRNA
Rfam family: Archaeal small subunit ribosomal RNA
Source: RNAcentral